ACGCUCGACACCUACGGGAGCAGCAGUGGGGAAUAUUGCACAAUGGGGGAAACCCUGAUGCAGCGACGCCGCGUGAAGGAAGAAGUAUCUCGGUAUGUAAACUUCUAUCAGCAGGGAAGAAAGUGACGGUACCUGACUAAGAAGCCCCGGCUAACUACGUGCCAACAGCCGCGGUAAUCUGAGCGGGCGUGGCAAGGC
Molecule: ribosomal RNA, 198 nt
Filed under: uncultured bacterium
Lineage: Bacteria
Description: partial 16S ribosomal RNA
Rfam family: Bacterial small subunit ribosomal RNA
Source: RNAcentral